Molecule: non-coding RNA, 783 nt
Organism: Doryrhamphus excisus (bluestripe pipefish)
Lineage: Eukaryota; Metazoa; Chordata; Actinopteri; Syngnathiformes; Syngnathidae
Source: RefSeq, a predicted model, not a curated record
GGUAUAGAGUCGGUGACAAAACGACAGAGGAAGAAUAAAUCCUGAGGGUGAAUAUACGUCAAGUCAUCGUGGAUUUUCUUCCUUAUUCUGUAUCACAGAUUCCAUUUGAGCUGUGAGGGAUGGUGACACUGAGCCACGAGGAGUCGUCUCACUCCAAUCAAAUAGCCCUUCUGUUGAAGCAUGGUGUGUGAUUUUGGCUGCAAACAAACAAGUCACGGAGCCAAUCCGGCCUCCGAGACGUGCGGGAAUGCUUGGAUACGCUGAGUCAAUCCUCUGUUUCUGCAGCUUCUUACCUUUGUGACGCCAUCGCAGAAGGUUCUUUUGACCUUUCAACGUGCAUGGAUUUCCUGUCGUGGCUGCUGGUGUGAGGGUAUAGGACGUGUUACUACCCAUGUUGGUUCCGGUAUCUAACACACACACACACACACGGAAUAGAUGAACCUUCUGUUACCUGCGUUGUUUGUAGCCCUGAAAGAAAGUGCAUGGAGUUGUGACAUGACAAUGACUAGGGAAUACUUUACACUUUUUACAUUUGACACAAUGUUGUCAUUUUCACUGUUUACAUAAUUAUUUCAGCCUAAAAACGCAAUUUAUAUAUAAAUAGUUCUUUUGUAAACAUUCUGUGGGAAAUGUCAGGGCACAUGAUUACUGACGUAGUUCUUCAAGACCAAACUUUGUCUGUAAUAAAGUGUAUACUGUCCAGUUUAAUAUCAGGCUGACUUUUCCAUGAAAAUAUUUGUUUCUCUCCAAAAAUAUAUUUUUACCUAAGUGGGACAUGGUUAU